UACGUAGGCAGCAAGCGUUGUUCGGAGUUACUGGGCGUAAAGGGUGUGUAGGCGGUCUUCUAAGUUUGGUGUGAAAUCGCCCGGCUCAACUGGGCGGGGUCGGCGGAUACGGCCGAGCUGGAGCAAGCUAGGGGGUAAUGGAAUUCCCGGUGUAGUGGUGGAAUGCGUAGAUAUCGGGAGGAACACCAGUGGCGAAGGCGGUUACCUGGAGCUUUGCUGACGCUGAUGCGCGAAAGCGUGGGGAGCGAUCCGG
This 253-nucleotide ribosomal RNA is filed under the name uncultured bacterium. RNAcentral describes it as "partial 16S ribosomal RNA". It matches the Rfam family "Bacterial small subunit ribosomal RNA", at positions 524 to 776 of the family's 1533-position model. The record is from RNAcentral.